This 73-nucleotide transfer RNA is filed under the name Perca fluviatilis (European perch). It matches the Rfam family "tRNA". From Rfam's summary of the family: Transfer RNA (tRNA) molecules are approximately 80 nucleotides in length. Their secondary structure includes four short double-helical elements and three loops (D, anti-codon, and T loops). Further hydrogen bonds mediate the characteristic L-shaped molecular structure. tRNAs have two regions of fundamental functional importance: the anti-codon, which is responsible for specific mRNA codon recognition, and the 3' end, to which the tRNAs corresponding amino acid is attached (by aminoacyl-tRNA synthetases). tRNAs cope with the degeneracy of the genetic code in two manners: having more than one tRNA (with a specific anti-codon) for a particular amino acid; and 'wobble' base-pairing, i.e. permitting non-standard base-pairing at the 3rd anti-codon position. Lineage: Eukaryota; Metazoa; Chordata; Actinopteri; Perciformes; Percidae. The record is from Rfam by way of RNAcentral.
GGGGAAUUAGCUCAAAUGGUAGAGCACUUGCUUCGCAUGCGAGAGGUAGUGGGAUCGAUGCCCACAUUCACCA